CGGGAAAAAGUGUUUGUGUGGCAGUCAAGAUGAUCCGGAGAGGAGGGGGCAGAGCGCCUCCCGUUAUUCUGAUAGGCCUGCUGGUUAUGUUGGUUAUUCUUGGCUUCAACUACUGGCUACUCUCUUCACAAAAUGCAGAUUUACAACAGGAACUGGAGAAACUGCAGGCCGAGGUCAAAAUCAGUGCAGUGAAACAAGAUCAAUCAGAGAAGAAGAAUGCAGCAUUGCAGGAGACUGUACAUGAGAUGGAUGAAAUUGCAGACAAAUUGAAGAAGAGAGUACAGGAGGAGGAGGAUGCCAUCAAGAAUAGAGACCAGGAUGGACAGAAGAAAGACUAUGAAAUUACCUCACUCAAGAACAAAAUUGUUGUUCUCCAAGAGCAGAUUAACACAGUGAAGCAGCAAGUAGAGGAGCAGGAGGUGGAGUUGGCCAAAGCAAAAGAGACCAACACUCGCCUUGUAACAGAGCGAGAUGCAGCGGUGGAGGCUGUGGGGGAGAAGGACACACAGAUCAACUCACUCAAGAUACAGCUGGAGCAGGAGAAAACGGUGAAGGGCACACUGCAGUACUCCAUUAGUGACCUGAAGAAGAAGGUGACGCAGACUUUUGGUGACCUAUCUGAGUGCCAAGACAAAGUGGCAGAGCUUGAAGGGAAGAAUAAGGGACACGAGGAACAGAACAAAAAGGCACAGGAAGAGUUGGCAGUCCACCAGAGGGAGCAGGCUGCUGCAGCUGUGCCUGAAGCUGUUCCUGGAGUCAUGAAUAUUCCUGGCAUAGAUAAAAAAGAGGCAUACUUUGGUCCAGGUCAGCUGGGAUAUGUUCCCCGGGCAGCUGUGAGGACACUGGACAAGGGCUUGCAGGGCAUCACCUUCCACAGGGGUCUCCCUAUUCUACCUAGGGAUCCCCCUGGUGCCCCACGUCCCAAGCCCAGAUUCAGUGUGGGUGCAGAGGGUCAAAAUGUUCCUGCAGGAGGCCAGGGAGUGGUUCCCCAGCCACCUGCUGCCGAGGUGAAAGCACCACCUGCACCAGAGCUACAAAAACCCCAGAUUCAGCCCGCAGUGGGCCAGUACCUCCAUCCCAUCGCUGGCCACCAGCAUUACCAGGCCCUUGCCAAACCCCGCUAUGUCCUGCCCCAGGAGAUGAGGUUCCUGCCCCACCCACGCCUGGACCCCAUUGCAGGUCCAGGUGUGGUAGAGCGGCCAGCAGCUCCCGUGGAUGCCAACAUUCAGCCCCUCGCUCCACAUGGCAAUGUGGUACACCUAGACCCUCACAAUGAAGUGCUUGACCCACCACCAGCCCAGGGUCAGGAGCAGAAGGUGGAUGAUUUGUCCCGCAGCAAGAGAGGUGAUAAUUUAGAAGGCAGAAAGAACACUGGAAAUGUAUUUGAGCCACAUAGAUCAGCUGCAGUGAUAGCAAAGCCAGCCUCACUGCAAGGUAAAGCUGCAUUGCCAGGACAAGAUGAAAUGGCAGUGGGCUUGCACCAUGGCCAGGCAGAAGCAGAGGACAAGAAUGAUGCCCAAGAGCAAUUGGAUGAACCACUGCAGCUCCAACAAAGCCAUGGUGAAGUGGAGGGUGAGGACCACAACAAUGCCCUAGAGCAGGAGGAGGAUGAGGGUGAGGACGUGGACCACCAACACCGCCUCCCCAGAGAGCCCUGAGGAGACCCACAGCGCUGCAAUUUAUCAUUCUCUCCACAUUUCUUGCCCACUGCUGUGUACAACCUUGAUGCAGCGGUUGAUGAUGAGAAUGCAGCAGCAGUAGUGAACGACUUGACAUAUGACCAAGAUGAAGAAGGGAAUGACGUGCGGCAGCGACAGCGACGGCAGGACAGAGAUGACGGGGGUGGAAGAGAAGG
RNAcentral lists this unclassified non-coding RNA (1855 nucleotides) under Portunus trituberculatus (swimming crab). Its description in RNAcentral is "protein GOLM2-like, transcript variant X7". The record is from RNAcentral. Lineage: Eukaryota; Metazoa; Arthropoda; Malacostraca; Decapoda; Portunidae.